CCAAAGCUGGCGACCGGCGCACGGGUGAGUAACACGUAUCCAACCUGCCUCAUACUCGGGGAUAGCCUUUCGAAAGAAAGAUUAAUAUCCGAUAGCAUAUAUUUCCCGCAUGGGUUUUAUAUUAAAGAAAUUCGGUAUGAGAUGGGGAUGCGUUCCAUUAGUUUGUUGGGGGGCAACGGCCCACCAAGACUACGAUGGAUAGGGGUUCUGAGAGGAAGGUCCCCCACAUUGGAACUGAGACACGGUCCAA
This 250-nucleotide ribosomal RNA is filed under the name uncultured bacterium. RNAcentral's name for it is "partial 16S ribosomal RNA". It matches the Rfam family "Bacterial small subunit ribosomal RNA", at positions 82 to 334 of the family's 1533-position model. The record is from RNAcentral.